AUUGAACGCUGGCGGCAGGCCUAACACAUGCAAGUCGAGCGGCAGCACGGGUACUUGUACCUGGUGGCGAGCGGCGGACGGGUGAGUAAUGCAUGGGAAUCUGCCUGGUAGUGGGGGACAACGUUUCGAAAGGAACGCUAAUACCGCAUACGCCCUACGGGGGAAAGCAGGGGAUCUUCGGACCUUGCACUAAUAGAUGA
Molecule: ribosomal RNA, 200 nt
Filed under: uncultured bacterium
Lineage: Bacteria
Description: partial 16S ribosomal RNA
Rfam family: Bacterial small subunit ribosomal RNA
Source: RNAcentral